GAUCUGAGGGAAAGCCCGUUGCCUUUUGCCUUGACCCGGCGAGUUAUUGUAUUAUGCAAGGUUAAGUCGAACAGAUGGAGCCGAAGCGAAAGCAAGUCUGAAUAGGGCGCUUUAGUAUGAUGCAAUAGACCCGAAACCGAGUGAUCUAGCCAUGAGCAGGUUGAAGUUGGGGUAAGACCCAAUGGAGGACCGAACCGAUAUGCCCGGAAACGCGUACGGAUGACUUGUGGUUAGCGGAGAAAUUCCAAACGAACUCGGAGAUAGCUGGUUCUCCCCGAAAUAGGUUUAGGCCUAGCCUUGAUUGAAUCUGCCCGGAGGUAGAGCACUGAAUGUGCGAUGGCGUCGUCUAGAUGUACUGAGUACAAUCAAACUCCGAAUGCUGGGUAGUACUAAUCAGGAGUCACUGUAUGGGUGAUAACGUCCAUACGGGAGAGGAAAAGAAUCCGGAUCGCCAGCUAAGGUCCCAAAAUUUGUGUUAAGUGGGAAAGGAUGUAGAGUUGUCAAAACAGCUAGGAGGUUGGCUUAGAAGCAGCCACCCUUUAAAGAGUGCGUAAUAGCUCACUAGUCGAGUGACACUGCGCCGAAGAUGUACCGGGGCUAAACACAAUACCGAAGCUGCGGACUUGUACUUAUGUGCAAGUGGUAGGGGAGCGUUCUAAGGGCUGUGAAGGUAGACCGUAAGGACUGCUGGAGCGUUUAGAAGUGAGAAUGCCGGUGUGAGUAACGAAAAUUGGGUGAGAAUCCCAUUCACCGUUUGACUAAGGUUUCCUGGGUAAAGUUCGUCUUCCCAGGGUUAGUCAGGACCUAAGAUGAGGCUGAAAAGCGUAGUCGAUGGACAACAGGUUUAUAUUCCUGUACCACCUAUGUAACUGAUGAAGUGACGGAGAAAGCUAAUGAGAGCCAGUUAUUGGAUUCUGGUCUAAGUGCGUAGGCUAGUAUGUUGGGAAAUCCGCAAUACUAUUACAGCUGAAACAUGAUGGGGAAGUGAUCCUUCGGGUGAGCAAACUUUCAUGAUGCUACGCUUCCAAGAAAAGCUUCUAGGGCUAAUUGCAUAGGUGCCUGUACCGACAACCGACACAGGUGGUCAAGGAGAGAAUCCUAAGGUGAGCGAGAGAACUAUGGUUAAGGAACUCGGCAAAAUGACCCCGUAACUUCGGGAGAAGGGGUGGUCUAGCGAUAGACCCGCAGUGAAUAGGCCCAGGCAACUGUUUACCAAAAACACAGGUCUCUGCUAACACGUAAGUGGAUGUAUAGGGGCUGACGCCUGCCCAGUGCUGGAAGGUUAAAGAGAUUAGUUAGUAUGACGCAAGUCGAUAAUACGAAGCUUUGAACUGAAGCCCCAGUGAACGGCGGCCGUAACUAUAACGGUCCUAAGGUAGCGAAAUUCCUUGUCAGGUAAGUUCUGACCCGCACGAAAGGCGUAAUGAUCUGGGUACUGUCUCAACCAUAGACUCGGUGAAAUCUUAAUACCUGUGAAAAUGCAGGUUACCCGCGACUGGACGGAAAGACCCCGUGGAGCUUUACUGUAGCUUGAUAUUGGAAUUCGGUAAACUAUGUAGAGCAUAGGUGGGAGACUAUGAGACUAAGGCGCCAGCCUUAGAGGAGUCACCAUUGGAAUACCACCCUUAGUUUAUUGGAUUUCUAACCUAGAGCCAUUAUCUGGUUCAGGGACAGUGUCUGGUGGGCAGUUUGACUGGGGCGGUCGCCUCCUAAAAUGUAACGGAGGCGUUCAAAGGUUCCCUCAGAAUGGUUGGAAAUCAUUCAAAGAGCGUAAAGGUAUAUAGGGAGCUUGACUGCGAGACCUACAAGUCAAGCAGGUGCGAAAGCAGGACUUAGUGAUCAGGCGAUUCAGAAUGGAAUGGUCGUCGCUUAACGGAUAAAAGUUACCCCGGGGAUAACAGGCUGAUACCACCCAAUAGUUCACAUAGACGGUGGUGUUUGGCACCUCGAUGUCGGCUCGUCAUAUCCUGGAGGUGGAGUCGCUUCCAAGGGUUGGGCUGUUCGCCCAUUAAAAUGGCACGCGAGCUGGG
This 2030-nucleotide ribosomal RNA is filed under the name human gut metagenome. RNAcentral describes it as "bacterial LSU rRNA". It matches the Rfam family "Bacterial large subunit ribosomal RNA", at positions 583 to 2609 of the family's 2925-position model. The record is from RNAcentral.